Molecule: ribosomal RNA, 301 nt
Filed under: uncultured bacterium
Lineage: Bacteria
Description: partial 16S ribosomal RNA
Rfam family: Bacterial small subunit ribosomal RNA
Source: RNAcentral
CAGUCGCCGCGGGAAUACGUAGGUCCCGAGCGUUGUCCGGAUUUAUUGGGCGUAAAGCGAGCGCAGGCGGUUAGAUAAGUCCGAAGUUAAAGGCUGUGGCUUAACCAUAGUACGCUUUGGAAACUGUUUAACUUGAGUGCAAGAGGGGAGAGUGGAAUUCCAUGUGUAGCGGUGAAAUGCGUAGAUAUAUGGAGGAACACCGGUGGCGAAAGCGGCUCUCUGGCUUGUAACUGACGCUGAGGCUCGAAAGCGUGGGGAGCAAACAGGAUUAGAUACCCCGGUAGUCCCUGUCUCUUAUACA